GGUUGACCUCGGAUCAGGUAGGGAUACCCGCUGAACUUAAGCAUAUCAAUAAGCGGAGGAAAAGAAACCAACCGGGAUUGCCCCAGUAACGGCGAGUGAAGCGGCAAGAGCUCAAAUUUGAAAUCUGGCCCCUCCGGGGUCCGAGUUGUAAUUUGCAGAGGAUGCUUCGGGUGCGGCCCCCGUCUAAGUGCCCUGGAACGGGCCGUCAGAGAGGGUGAGAAUCCCGUCCUGGGCGGGGUGUCCGUGCCCGUGUGAAGCUCCUUCGACGAGUCGAGUUGUUUGGGAAUGCAGCUCUAAAUGGGUGGUAAAUUUCAUCUAAAGCUAAAUACUGGCCGGAGACCGAUAGCGCACAAGUAGAGUGAUCGAAAGAUGAAAAGCACUUUGAAAAGAGAGUUAAACAGCACGUGAAAUUGUUGAAAGGGAAGCGCUUGCGACCAGACUCGCCCGCGGGGUUCAGCCGGCACUCGUGCCGGUGUACUUCCCCGUGGGCGGGCCAGCGUCGGUUUGGGCGGCCGGUCAAAGGCCUCCGGAAUGUAUCGCCCUCCGGGGCGUCUUAUAGCCGGGGGUGCAAUGCGGCCAGCCCGGACCGAGGGACGCGCUUCGGCACGGACGCUGGCAUAAUGGUCGUAAACGACC
RNAcentral lists this ribosomal RNA (636 nucleotides) under Aspergillus panamensis. Its description in RNAcentral is "eukaryotic LSU rRNA". It matches the Rfam family "Eukaryotic large subunit ribosomal RNA", at positions 1 to 649 of the family's 3401-position model. The record is from RNAcentral. Lineage: Eukaryota; Fungi; Ascomycota; Eurotiomycetes; Eurotiales; Aspergillaceae.